GAUCUCCUAGCUCAGCUGGUAGAGCACAACACUUUUAAUGUUGGGGUCGUGGGUUCGAGCCCCACGGGGAUCA
Molecule: transfer RNA, 73 nt
Filed under: Alistipes ihumii
Lineage: Bacteria; Pseudomonadati; Bacteroidota; Bacteroidia; Bacteroidales; Rikenellaceae
Also listed under: 4 other names
Description: tRNA-Lys
Rfam family: tRNA
About the family: Transfer RNA (tRNA) molecules are approximately 80 nucleotides in length. Their secondary structure includes four short double-helical elements and three loops (D, anti-codon, and T loops). Further hydrogen bonds mediate the characteristic L-shaped molecular structure. tRNAs have two regions of fundamental functional importance: the anti-codon, which is responsible for specific mRNA codon recognition, and the 3' end, to which the tRNAs corresponding amino acid is attached (by aminoacyl-tRNA synthetases). tRNAs cope with the degeneracy of the genetic code in two manners: having more than one tRNA (with a specific anti-codon) for a particular amino acid; and 'wobble' base-pairing, i.e. permitting non-standard base-pairing at the 3rd anti-codon position.
Source: RNAcentral